ACUCCUACGGGAGGCAGCAGUGGGGAAUCUUAGACAAUGGGGGAAACCCUGAUCUAGCCAUGCCGCGUGAGUGAUGAAGGCCUUAGGGUCGUAAAGCUCUUUCGCCAGGGAUGAUAAUGACAGUACCUGGUCAAAGAAACCCCGGCUAACUCCGUGCCAGCAGCCGCGGUAAUACGGAGGGGGUUAGCGUUGUUCGGAAUUACUGGGCGUAAAGCGCGCGUAGGCGGACUAGAAAGUUGGGGGUGAAAUCCCGGGGCUCAACCUCGGAACUGCCUUCAAAACUCCUAGUCUAGAGUUCGAGAGAGGUGAGUGGAAUUCCAAGUGUAGAGGUGAAAUUCGUAGAUAUUUGGAGGAACACCAGUGGCGAAGGCGGCUCACUGGCUCGAUACUGACGCUGAGGUGCGAAAGUGUGGGGAGCAAACAGGAUUAGAUACCCUGGUAGGAUAGCG
Molecule: ribosomal RNA, 449 nt
Filed under: uncultured bacterium
Lineage: Bacteria
Description: bacterial SSU rRNA
Rfam family: Bacterial small subunit ribosomal RNA
Source: RNAcentral